AAUGGAUUUAGUGAACUAAUCAGCACAAAAACCUUUGUUGAAAAGCAUUUAAAAGUAGCCAAGGUAGCAGCUCCAAGGAAGAUGGUCAAAUUAAUCUUCAACCAAGUCUGAGGCUUUUCCAUGGAAAUAAUAAGGCAAGUUUAAUUAAGCCAAAUAAAUGCUAUACAUUUCUGUAAUUAAUUUGAUUUUGUAUUAGUAUAACACCAUUGCUAGUUUAUAAUUUAAGAUACCAGGUACAUGAAGAUUUUUAUAUAGAUACAAAAUUAAAUACAGAGUACAACUUGAAGACUAGUACGUACCAUGAAUAAGAUUUUUUUCAUUCAAUGGGAGAUAACUCAUUGUAAUAUAUGCAGAUUUAAUAUUUGUCUUUUUGAACAUUGAAAUAUGUUUAAACUUAUAAGACUAAUUUUUAUGUUUUUUCCAAUUUUAAUAUUAAAUUCACAAACUGUUAUUUUACUAUUAUGUACUUCUGAUGUUUAAGAAUUUAGAACAAUAUUUUGUAAAUGUUGGAGAAAUUGAAUUGUAAAAUAUAUAAAUUAUCAAUUUUAAUAUUUUAGGUUCUUUUUGUGAGAUGUUUUCGUGGUGUGGGAAUAAGACUUGGUGGUCUAAUACAGCUAAUAUGAAGGUUGGUACCAGUAUACCUAUUUGAAAAAAAAUUAAAUGUAUUAGAAAUAUUAGAAAUAUGUGCUCUAGGCUUGAAAGUUUAAAUGAGUGUGGUGAUUAGUCAAUACUCGACUCUUUCAUUUAUUGGUACAAAUAUGUGUAAAUCUAAGGAACUAACUUAAUUAUUGUGUUUUUAUGGUUUUGUUGAAUUGCUGUAUAGUGAAUGUUCUCAACAUCUAUUACACAUAUACACUUUUUAACCGGAUUUUUGUGACAAAAAUGUCGGUUAUUGAUUUGGGGAUGUACGGCGGGCGGGCAGGUGGCAAUCAAAUGUUGUCCGUGCAUUAACUCAUGAACCGUUCAACCAAAGCUUUUAAAAUUUUUAUAUGUUAUUACUGACAACUAUACAAAGGUCAAGUUCAAUAAUUGCGAUUUUGACUUUUACCGUUCAGGAGUUAUGGUUCUUGAAAGAUUGAAAAAUGGAGUUUCCAGUCGUGUCCGUGCAUUUACGCAUGAACUGUUCUACCAAAGCUUCCCAAAUUUUAAUAUGUUGUUACUAAUGACAGAAUGGAGGUCAAGUUCAAUAAUGACGAAUUUGACUUUUACCGUUCAGGAGUUAUGGUUCUUGAAAGAUUGAAAAAUGGAGUUUCCAGUCGUGUCCGUGCAAUAAUGCAUGAACUGUUCUACCAAAGCUUCCGAAAUUUUAAUAUGCUGUUACUGAUGACAAAAUGGAGGUCAAGUUCAAUAAUGACAAUUUAGACUUCUACUGUUCAGGAGUUCUGGUUCUUGAAAGAUUGAAAAAUGGUGUUUCCCGUCGUGUCCGUGCAUUUUCUCAUGAACCAUUCAACCAAAGCUUUUGAAAUUUUAAUAUGUUGUUACUGAUGACAAAAUAGAGGUCAAGUUCAAUAAUGACGAUUUUGACUUUUACGGUUCAGGAGUUAUGGUUCUUGAAAGAUCGUAAAAUGGCGUUUCCAUUCACGUUGUUGCAUUUACUCAUGAACCAUUCAAUCUAAGCUUUUCAAAUUUUAAUAUGUUGAUACUGAUGACAAAAUGGAGGUCAAAUUUGAUAUUGACGAUUUUCACUUUCACCAUUCAUCAGUAAUGGUUCUUGUGAUAUUGCCAGGACACAAAUAAAUGUUAAUAAAUCUGGUUUGCUGUCGUUGUGACAGCCUCUUGUUCUAUAUGAUGUACAUACAUAGAUAUAAGAAGUCAGAAUUUGUAAAAGUAAACCAUUAAAAGUCAAAGUACGGUCUUCAACACUAGCCUUGGCUGACACGAAACAGCAAGCUAUAAAGGGCCCAACAAAUGUCCAGUGUAAAACCAUCUAAAUGGUUAAACAAACAGUCUAAUAUAUAUAUAUAUAUAGCAGGGGAUUGAAACAUUUUAAUAGGUACCAACCUUCACCAGUUUACCAGCCGAGAUCCUUUUAAACAAGUUUGAAUGACUAAGCAUUUUAUAUUUCAGGUUAGCACCACAGCUUGUCUGUAAGGAUUGAGGCUGGGAAGGGCCAUUGGAGCUGACUUUUAUAGUAAGAACCAAUACAUAGAUUUAUUAACUAUUCAGCCAAGAGCAUGUAAAUACCAUAGAUUUUUAUUAUGCAGAGAUUUAGAUCGUUCAUUUUAAUUUUUCUUAAAUUAACUUUAUAUAAUCUCAAAAUGAGGUAUCAAGAUGAAUAAGGGAAAUCAAAAAUUAUACCUGUACUAAGAAAAUCUUCCCUCAGUCUGCACAUUCGUUUCUUUGUCUGUCUGAUUUCCAUCUGUCCCACUUUAGGUUAGUUUUUGGUCAAAUCAGUGCUUGAUGAUCAACUUGAAACUUGUGUGAUUGCUAAGGAGAUAACACACCCAGAGACCAAAUGCUGUGGAUGUAAGCAUAAAAGCUCACUGUAUGGCCUACAACGAUGAGCAAAAGCUAUACUGUACAGUUAAAAAAAAAAUCCCCAAUGUGAAAAAAAAAAGAUGAUUCAAACUAGAAAACCAGCAGCCUAAUUCAUGAUAAAACAAUGAAAAAAUAUGUUGGAUAUCAUCCAACUACUUGUUUGUCAUGUUUGCUAAUGAAGACUGGUAGUUUAAAAUUUAUGCAAACACAGGACAUAACAAGUUUAAGCUUUCUUAAAAGCUGUGGACUGCUCUGCUCUAUCCUAAUUUAAUGUAAUAUGUGUGCAUGUGGUAUUUUUGAUUGAUAUAAAAUGGAUUUACUUUAAGAGUAUGCUUUAUGAGUGUGCCUCUUGGGAGGUGUGCCAUUAUACAAAGCAAAAACAAAGUCAAAGCAAUGUUAUUUGCAUGAUAACUGUUUAGUCUAGUUGAUUAUUUCUUUGAAUUAGAUAUCGUUUUAACAAUGUAUAUUUCUUUUUCAGGUAACUUUAACUGAGGAUGCAUCAAAUUAUUGUGAGAUUUAACUGAAACUAUAAAGAAUGUAAUUCAGACAAUAAUUGUGUGUGUGAAAAAAUGUAAAUGAUUUGAGAGAAAAAAAAAGAUUUGUAAAGAUUCUCCUUUUUCAACAAGAUUGGGAGUUGCAGGAUAUUAGUUAUCCAGUUCAGAACCUGUUUAUUAUCCCCCCUCCCCAGCCCCCUUUUUAAACAAGGUUUGAUGGGUAAGUUGAAAGUGAUGGGAAAUGGACAAAUUUUACAAUUAAACUUGUAGUCUAGAUCUACAUUUUAUGCAAGAUAUCUUAUGGUCCAUGUGAAGUCAACAUUUCCAGUAGGUUUAGAAGGG
Molecule: long non-coding RNA, 3314 nt
Filed under: Mytilus galloprovincialis (Mediterranean mussel)
Lineage: Eukaryota; Metazoa; Mollusca; Bivalvia; Mytilida; Mytilidae
Source: RNAcentral